GUGAGGAUCUGCCUACAGGACUGGGACAACAGCUGGAAACGGCUGCUAAAACCGGAUGUGCCGAGAGGUGAAAUAUUUAUAGCCUGUAGAUGAGCUCGCGUCUGAUUAGCUAGUUGGUGAGGUAAGGGCUCACCAAGGCGACGAUCAGUAGCUGGUCUGAGAGGACGAUCAGCCACACUGGGACUGAGACACGGCCCAGACUCCUACGGGAGGCAGCAGUGGGGAAUUUUCCGCAAUGGGCGAAAGCCUGACGGAGCAAUACCGCGUGAGGGAGGAAGGUCUGUGGAUUGUAAACCUCUUUUGAUAGGGAAGAAGUUCUGACGGUACCUAUCGAAUCAGCAUCGGCUAACUCCGUGCCAGCAGCCGCGGUAAUACGGAGGAUGCAAGCGUUAUCCGGAUUUAUUGGGCGUAAAGCGUCCGUAGGUGGUUAUUCAAGUCUAUUGUCAAAGCCUGGGGCUUAACCCUGGAGAGGCGGUGGAAACUGAAUGACUAGAGUGCGGUAGGGGCAGAGGGAAUUCCCAGUGUAGCGGUGAAAUGCGUAGAUAUUGGGAAGAACACCGGUGGCGAAAGCGCUCUGCUGGGCCUGCACUGACACUGAGGGACGAAAGCUAGGGGAGCGAAAGGGAUUAGAUACCCCU
RNAcentral lists this ribosomal RNA (638 nucleotides) under Oculatella sp. WUC1746. RNAcentral's name for it is "bacterial SSU rRNA". It matches the Rfam family "Bacterial small subunit ribosomal RNA", at positions 117 to 789 of the family's 1533-position model. Lineage: Bacteria; Bacillati; Cyanobacteriota; Cyanophyceae; Oculatellales; Oculatellaceae. The record is from RNAcentral.